Molecule: ribosomal RNA, 253 nt
Filed under: uncultured bacterium
Lineage: Bacteria
Description: partial 16S ribosomal RNA
Rfam family: Bacterial small subunit ribosomal RNA
Source: RNAcentral
UACGUAGGUGACAAGCGUUGUCCGGAUUUAUUGGGCGUAAAGCGAGCGCAGGCGGUCUUUUAAGUCUGAUGUGAAAGCCCACGGCUCAACCGUGGAUGGUCAUUGGAAGCUGGGAGACUUGAAUGCAGAAGAGGAAAAUGGAAUUCCAUGUGUAGCGGUGAAAUGCGUAGAUAUAUGGAGGAACACCAGUGGCGAAGGCGGCUUUCUGGUCUGUAAUUGACGCUGAGGCUCGAAAACGUGGGGAGCAAACAGG